Molecule: ribosomal RNA, 440 nt
Filed under: uncultured bacterium
Lineage: Bacteria
Description: partial 16S ribosomal RNA
Rfam family: Bacterial small subunit ribosomal RNA
Source: RNAcentral
CCUACGGGAGGCAGCAGUGGGGAAUAUUGCACAAUGGGCGCAACCCUGAUGCAGCGACGCCGCGUGAGUGAAGAAGUUAUUCGUUAUGUAAAGCUCUAUCAGCAGGGAAGAAAAUGACGGUACCUGAGUAGGAAGCCGAGGCCAACUACGUGCCAGCUGCCGGGGUACUACGCAGGGGGCAAGCGUUAUCCGGAUUUACGGGGUGUAAAGGGAGCGUAGACGGGAGUGCGAGUCUGGCGUGAAAGGCGGGGGGUCAACCCCCGGACUGCUGUGGAAACUGGACGGCUGGAGUGCAGGAGAGGUAAGUGGAAUGCCUGGUGUAGUGGUGAAAUGCGUAGAUAUUACGAGGAACACCAGUGGCGAAGGCGGCAUACUGGCCUGUAACUGACGCUGAGGCACGAAAGCGUGGGGAGCAAACAGGAUUAGAUACCCCAGUAGUC